This 229-nucleotide non-coding RNA is filed under the name Pelotomaculum thermopropionicum. RNAcentral's name for it is "T-box sequence". It matches the Rfam family "T-box leader". From Rfam's summary of the family: Uncharged tRNA acts as the effector for transcription antitermination of genes in the T-box leader family. T-boxes are found upstream of many aminoacyl-tRNA synthetase genes and some amino acid biosynthetic genes usually in Gram-positive bacteria. Lineage: Bacteria; Bacillati; Bacillota; Clostridia; Eubacteriales; Desulfotomaculaceae. The record is from RNAcentral.
AAACCGGCGAUGAAAAGGAAGAGUAGGGCUUAUAAACCUGGCCUUGCAGAGAGAAGGCGCCCGAGGCUGAAAGCGCCUUUAAGGCAGGCGGCCUGAAGACCGCCUUGGAGCUGCCGGCUGAAAACGAAAAGUAAGCCGCGCCGGGGGCAACCGUUAACUGCCGCGAGAGAGGAAGGGCAGCUUGACCUUCCUAAACAGGGUGGAACCGCGGGCAUUCCCCGUCCCUGAU